AAAACAGUUAUGGUUUAUUUGAUGGUUCUUUGGUUACUAGGAUAACUAUAGUAAUUGUAGAGAUAAUACAUGCACGAAGGGGCGACUUAAGAAGCCCUGUAUUUAUUAGAUGAAACCCAACCCCCUCGGGGAAAUCGGGGGGAAUCAUAGUAACUAAUCGGAUCGCCGGCUUUACGCCAGCGACGUGUCAUUCAAAUUUCUGCCCUAUUCAGCUUUAGAGGGUAGGAUAUGGGCCUACCAGGGCGGUGACGGGUAACGGAGAAUUGGGUUUGAUUCCGGGAGAGGGAGCCUGAGAAACGGCUACCACUUUUAAGGAAGGCAGCAGGCGCGCAAAAUUACCCAAUCCUAACCUCAGGGAGGUAGCCACAAGAAA
RNAcentral lists this ribosomal RNA (373 nucleotides) under uncultured marine eukaryote. RNAcentral describes it as "bacterial SSU rRNA". It matches the Rfam family "Eukaryotic small subunit ribosomal RNA", at positions 103 to 477 of the family's 1831-position model. The record is from RNAcentral.